CAAGUCGAACGCGAAAAGGGGGCAACCCCUGAGUAGAGUGGCGCACGGGUGAGUAAUACAUCGGAACGUGUCCUGUAGCGGGGGAUAACCUAGCGAAAGCUAGGCUAAUACCGCAUACGUCCUUAGGGAGAAAGUGGGGGAUCGUAAGACCUCACACUAUAGGAGCGGCCGAUGCCGGAUUAGCUUGUUGGUGGGGUAAAAGCCUACCAAGGCGACGAUCCGUAGCUGGUCUGAGAGGAUGAAAAAUCAGCCACACUGGGACUGAGACACGGCCCAGACUCC
Molecule: ribosomal RNA, 282 nt
Filed under: unidentified marine bacterioplankton
Lineage: Bacteria
Description: partial 16S ribosomal RNA
Rfam family: Bacterial small subunit ribosomal RNA
Source: RNAcentral